UUGAACGCUGGCGGCAGGCCUAACACCUGCAAGUCGAGCGGAUGAAGGGAGCUUGCUCCUGGAUUCAGCGGCGGACGGGUGAGUAAUGCCUAGGAAUCUGCCUGGUAGUGGGGGAUAACGUCCGGAAACGGGCGCUAAUACCGCAUACGUCCUGAGGGAGAAAGUGGGGGAUCUUCGGACCUCACGCUAUCAGAUGAGCCUAGGUCGGAUUAGCUAGUUGGUGGGGUAAAGGCCUACCAAGGCGACGAUCCGUAACUGGUCUGAGAGGAUGAACAGUCACACUGGAACUGAGACACGGUCCAGACUCCUACGGGAGGCAGCAGUGGGGAAUAUUGGACAAUGGGCGAAAGCCUGAUCCAGCCAUGCCGCGUGUGUGAAGAAGGUCUUCGGAUUGUAAAGCACUUUAAGUUGGGAGGAAGGGCAGUAAGUUAAUACCUUGCUGUUUUGACGUUACCAACAGAAUAAGCACCGGCUAACUUCGUG
RNAcentral lists this ribosomal RNA (483 nucleotides) under uncultured bacterium. Its description in RNAcentral is "partial 16S ribosomal RNA". It matches the Rfam family "Bacterial small subunit ribosomal RNA", at positions 30 to 507 of the family's 1533-position model. The record is from RNAcentral.